This 1093-nucleotide long non-coding RNA is filed under the name Felis catus (domestic cat). RNAcentral describes it as "lncRNA (ENSFCAG00000050124.1)". The record is from RNAcentral. Lineage: Eukaryota; Metazoa; Chordata; Mammalia; Carnivora; Felidae.
GGGAUAUUCAUGUUCUUCAAAUCCAGGUGAUGUGGCAGAACCAAACUCUAUUUUUUGUCUCUUCAGAUCUGAAAAAUCAUUUAAAGCAAUGCUGACUUCUUUGCCUUGUAGGAGCUUCUCUAUACCAAUUUUGUCUCCUCUCCUACUGAGAAUAAGCAAACAUCCCCUAGUUCAUAGGAGGUAAAAGAGAAAACAACCUGCAGAAUGUUGAGGCCCAACUCAAUCGGUUUGCCUACUCUUUGGAAACGCAGCCUCUCAUCGUUGCCUUAAUUUUCAUUUUCCUCCUAAUAGAUAUCAAUUUUAUACAAUUAAGUUUCUCCCCAAAAUACACUAGUAACAUGUGACACAGAAAAUCCUUGAGUUGUCUAAUUCUCAAAUUUAAAAAAUCUGAGGGUCUGGACCAAAAGAAGAGGCGGAAUAUCAACUUGGAGUCGAGAUAACACACACACUGACAGUAACGACUAAAUCCAAAGACGGCUUCACUGAAGAGAAAGCAUUUUAAGAUUUAAAAAAAAAAUCCUGUAAGAAGAUCCCAAAAACGUCCUAAGUGUCAUUAGCAGUUAAUAAAGUUAUUCACGCAGAAGUGUAUACAACAGAGCACUGCACUUUUUAUAUUUUGUUUUCACUUUUUGGCGUGGCAUGGGACACGGUAUCAGCUUCAUUAAACAAAAUAUUUGUAAAAAACAUUAAAAAAAAAAAGUCUGUACCUUUCAUGCUACUUGAGGAGGAUGAAGCGGGAGUGGGUGCACGGAUGCGUCUUGCUUCCAGGGUUGAUGGAGAACUCACCCUGGUUGUGGCCGAUAAUCUCAGACAUGAUUCCCAUAAGGCUGAAGGUCCCUUACAGACGCCCACCAGGUUGUCGACCAAACUAAGCAGCGGGAACACGUCCCUCAGCUGCCUCCUCACCACGGGGCGCUUGCCCCUCAGCUGCCGCCACUUCUUGGCUUUGCGCAGGCGCCUUCGUAGGGAGCGCCGCGCCGGCCGCCAGGCGAGGUCCAGUCGCCGCCGCCUGAGGGCGGUACAGCUGCAUCCGGGGCUCUUGGGCUUGUCCAGUAACCUAUGGAGGUCCGCCCUGCCUCAGAGGCUGUGGUGA